UCCUUUGUGUUUUCAUGCAUCUAUAACGCCUAGACUAGAACGGAUAUGGUGGCGACGGGCGACGGGCAACGGGCGACGGGCGGGGUUGGCUCUCGGUUACCAUUGGCGGGGUGGUGAAUCACGUGAGACCUUGGUGCAUCGGAAACUUUGUAAACAGAAGGCGGACGCAAGAUGUGCUUUGGAUGCGAGAUAUUGGCACGUCCUGGCGUGCGGGUGUUGUGCCAAGACGCUGCAGAGGUGUAUCCUGGUGCGUUGGUGUUGUGCAUGACGGAGGCGAGACAGUGGUUCCAUGAACUCUUGAAGGACACCGGCAAGCAUGUUUUGUUGGGCAAAAGUCUGGCUAGCAACAUGAUGUCCUUCAAGCAUCUUUGAUUUCUCAAGGGGUACGGUAAGCAGGGAGUGAGUCUCGAGAAACGGUGUUCGUGUCCGUCGUGGAGGGAAGUAACCGAUCGCUGUGGUUUGCAGCUCGAGUCCCCUCAUGGAGAAUCGAAAGCAGUCUCUGGGAAUCAUUCAUCUUGAAUCAGGCAACAUCGCAGCAGCAGUGCGUGUCAGACUGGCUUCCUUGUUUGCUUUUGAUUAUGAUGCGAAGCUUGAAAUACACCUGCGGUUUUGUGAUUCAUGAUGGAAAUCUUACUGAGUCGUCGCUUAUAAACUCAUUCUUCUGAAAAUGCUUUUUUUGAAAAUUGAUACUGUUUAGGGUUAAGCUUGAUAACUGGUAUCUUUCUUCCAGGGAUGCGAUUGACUGAAAAAUUCUCAUAAACCAGGUGAAGAUAGAUAUCGGUCAUUAAAUUUAAGUCUACCCUUAAAAAUAUCGAGUUUUUCUAAAAUACCUCUAGAGAACUAAGUAUAUAAGCACUAACACAAGUAAAAUUUCUAUUUUUAAGCAUCAA
Portunus trituberculatus (swimming crab) is the source of this 890-nucleotide long non-coding RNA. RefSeq lists it as uncharacterized. The record is from RefSeq and is a predicted model, not a curated record. The transcript has 4 exons. NCBI's taxonomy places the organism in Eukaryota, Metazoa, Arthropoda, Malacostraca, Decapoda, Portunidae.